Sinocyclocheilus grahami is the source of this 786-nucleotide long non-coding RNA. RefSeq lists it as uncharacterized. The transcript has 2 exons. The record is from RefSeq and is a predicted model, not a curated record. Lineage: Eukaryota; Metazoa; Chordata; Actinopteri; Cypriniformes; Cyprinidae.
AGACUGAUGCUAGAUCUGCUCUCUCCGGCAGGUGGAUCUGUUCCAGCUUCAGGUCAACACACUGAGACGGUACAAGAGGCACUACAAGAUCCAGACCAGACCUGGACUCAACAAAGCCCAGCUCGCAGAGACCGUGAGCCGUCACUUCCGCAAUAUUCCAGUCAAUGAGAAGGAGACGCUCACGUACUUUAUUUAUAUGGUGAAGAGCAGUAAAAGCCGGCUGGACCAGAAGUCAGACGGGAGCAAACAAGUGGAAUAAUGUUCCCUGGCGAUCUCAGAGUGGCAGAAAGCCAUGAUUGAUGACGUGCAGAUGUUAGCUGGCUUUGCAAUUCCUCUUUGAAUGCUUACUGUGUUUUUUGUCCAUACGGGAGUCACUACAGUCACAUGCUUGUGUAGUGAUGAUGAUGUGCCAAACCUCACAGUAACACCAUUAAAGCGCUGGCGUUUGAGUGAAUCCAGCGUCUCUAAUGCUCCGAUUUCACCGCUGGUCCAGUGAGGACCUGAUUGAAAGCAUGACAGAGACUGAAUGACUGCAGAUCUGCUCUCUCGUGUCAAAUGUUUUGUGCUUCUCACACUUAAACUAAUGCCGAUCCCCCAGAAGAGCCGCGAUACGUUACCUGAGGCUUUCUGUUGUGUUCAUCUGCUCUGUUUCACAUCCGUCUCUGCUUUUAUAUGACUGCUGUGUAUCUGCUCUAUAUGGUGUUUUUUGGUAGGUUGUAAUGUUAGUUUUCUUCCUUUCUUUGUUUGAAAUAAUCAGUCUAAAUACAGUUCUUGUGGCACUACUCA